This 1153-nucleotide ribosomal RNA is filed under the name uncultured Microbacteriaceae bacterium. RNAcentral describes it as "bacterial SSU rRNA". It matches the Rfam family "Bacterial small subunit ribosomal RNA", at positions 223 to 1386 of the family's 1533-position model. The record is from RNAcentral. Lineage: Bacteria; Bacillati; Actinomycetota; Actinomycetes; Micrococcales; Microbacteriaceae.
GGAUGGACUCGCGGCCUACCAGCUAGUCGGUGAGGUAACGGCUCACCAAGGCGUCGACGGGUAGCCGGCCUGAGAGGGUGACCGGCCACACUGGGACUGAGACACGGCCCAGACUCCUACGGGAGGCAGCAGUGGGGAAUAUUGCACAAUGGGCGCAAGCCUGAUGCAGCAACGCCGCGUGGGGGACGAAGGCCUUCGGGUUGUAAACCUCUUUUAGUAGGGAAGAAGCGAAAGUGACGGUACCUGCAGAAAAAGCACCGGCUAACUACGUGCCAGCAGCCGCGGUAAUACGUAGGGUGCGAGCGUUGUCCGGAAUUAUUGGGCGUAAAGAGCUCGUAGGCGGUUUGUCACGUCUGCUGUGAAAGCCCGAGGCUCAACCUCGGGCCUGCAGUGGGUACGGGCAGACUAGAGUGCGGUAGGGGAGAACGGAAUUCCUGGUGUAGCGGUGGAAUGCGCAGAUAUCAGGAGGAACACCGAUGGCGAAGGCAGUUCUCUGGGCCGUAACUGACGCUGAGGAGCGAAAGCGUGGGGAGCGAACAGGAUUAGAUACCCUGGUAGUCCACGCCGUAAACGUUGGGCGCUAGAUGUGGGGACCAUUCCACGGUUUCCGCGUCGUAGCUAACGCAUUAAGCGCCCCGCCUGGGGAGUACGGCCGCAAGGCUAAAACUCAAAGGAAUUGACGGGGGCCCGCACAAGCGGCGGAGCAUGCGGAUUAAUUCGAUGCAACGCGAAGAACCUUACCAAGGCUUGACAUAUGCGAGAACGCUCUAGAAAUAGAGAACUCUUUGGACACUCGUAUACAGGUGGUGCAUGGUUGUCGUCAGCUCGUGUCGUGAGAUGUUGGGUUAAGUCCCGCAACGAGCGCAACCCUCGUCGCAUGUUGCCAGCACGUAAUGGUGGGAACUCAUGUGAGACUGCCGGGGUCAACCCGGAGGAAGGUGGGGAUGACGUCAAAUCAUCAUGCCCCUUAUGUCUUGGGCUUCACGCAUGCUACAAUGGCCGGUACAAAGGGCUGCGAAACUGCAAGGUGGAGCGAAUCCCAAAAAGCCGGUCUCAGUUCGGAUUGAGGUCUGCAACUCGACCUCAUGAAGUCGGAGUCGCUAGUAAUCGCAGAUCAGCAACGCUGCGGUGAAUACGUUCCCGGGCCUUGUAC